RNAcentral lists this ribosomal RNA (1881 nucleotides) under uncultured Acidobacteriota bacterium. RNAcentral's name for it is "bacterial LSU rRNA". It matches the Rfam family "Bacterial large subunit ribosomal RNA", at positions 188 to 1973 of the family's 2925-position model. The record is from RNAcentral. Lineage: Bacteria; Pseudomonadati; Acidobacteriota.
GGGAAGUGAACCAUCUCAGUACCCGGAGGAAGAGAAAGCAAACGCGAUUCCGUCAGUAGCGGCGAGCGAAAGCGGAUCAGCCUAAACCAUGCACGUGCCAAGCUGGCGGGCGUUGCGUGCGUGGUGUUGUGGGGUCCCGAUGUGAUCCGGCUGCCACCGGGUCGAGGAGUUACAAAACGUCCAUCUAGUGGAGCGGUCUGGAACGGCCGGCCACAGAGGGUGAGAGCCCCGUACACGAAAGGUGCGACGACUCCUUAUUCGGGUCCCCGAGUACCACGGGACACGUGGAACCCUGUGGGAAUCCUGGGAGGACCAUCUCCCAAGGCUAAAUACGUCUCGACGACCGAUAGUGAACCAGUACCGUGAGGGAAAGGUGAAAAGCACCCCUGUGAGGGGAGUGAAAUAGUACCUGAAACCGUUUACCUACAAGCAGUGGAAGGGCUAUGCCCCGCAAGGGGAAUGCCUAACCGCGUGCCUUUUGCAUAAUGAGCCGGCUAGUUACUCUCGGCGGCAAGGUUAAGCACUUUGCGAAGCCGCAGCGAAAGCGAGUCUGAAUAGGGCGAUUCAGUCGUCGGGAGUAGACGCGAAGCGGGAUGAUCUACCCUUGGCCAGGAUGAAGCGUGGGUAACACCACGUGGAGGUCCGAACUAGUGUUGGUUGAAAACAACUUGGAUGAGCUGAGGGUAGGGGUGAAAGGCCAAUCAAAUUCCGUGAUAGCUCGUUCUCCCCGAAAUAGCUUUAGGGCUAGCCUCGCGUGGUUCGUGGCGGUGGUAGAGCACUGGAUGGGUUAGGGACCUUACCCGGUUACCGACCCCAACCAAACUCCGAAUGCCGCCAACGUCAAGCGCGGGAGUCAGACGGCGGGGGAUAAGCUUCGUCGUCAAAAGGGAAAGAACCCAGACCGCCAGCUAAGGUCCCCAAGUCACGGCUAAGUGGUAAAGGAUGUGGGGUUGCCCGGACAUCCAGGAGGUUGGCUUAGAAGCAGCCAUCCUUUAAAGAAAGCGUAAUAGCUCACUGGUCUAGCGAUCCUGUGCCGAAAAUUCAACGGGGCUCAAGCCGUGCACCGAAGCUGCGGAUCUUCUCCACCCGAGGGUGGGGGAGGUGGUAGGGGAGCGUUCCAUGCGGGAUGAAGUCAGACCGUAAGGACUGGUGGACCUCAUGGAAGUGACUCUGCCGGCAUAAGUAGCGAUAAAGCAGACGAGAACUCUGCUCGCCGGAAGCCUAAGGUUUCCUGAGCAAGGUCAAUCCGCUCAGGGUCAGUCGGUCCCUAAGGCGAGGCCGAACGGCGUAGUCGAUGGGAAGCAGGUUAACAUUCCUGCACCACUCUGUCCUCGUUAUCACGAUGGGGUGACGCAGAAGGAUAGGUCGGACUGCCAUUGGAUGUGCAGUUUGAAGCGUGUAGGCGGGGGUGGUAGGCAAAUCCGCCGCCCCGUUAACGCCGAGACGCGAUAUCGAGGGCGCAAGCCCGCAAAGCGACUGAUUCCACGCUGCCAAGAAAAACCUCUAAGGAGAGGGCAGGGUGACCGUACCGGAAUCGGACACACGUAGGCAGGGAGAGAAUCCCGAGGCGCUUGAGUGAUCCCCCGUAAAGGAACUCGGCAAAAUUACACCGUAACUUCGGGAGAAGGUGUGCUCUUUGCCGUGUAGACCCUCGCGGUCGAAGCGGUGGAGAGUCGCAGUGAAAAGGCCCAGGCGACUGUUUACUAAAAACACAGCACUCUGCAAACGUCACAAGCGGACGUAUAGGGUGUGAAGCCUGCCCGGUGCCGGAAGGUUAAGGGGAGGGGUCAUUCCCGCGCAAGCGGGAAGAAGCUCUGAACUGAAGCCCCGGUAAACGGCGGCCGUAACUAUAACGGUCCUAAGGUAGCGAAAUUCCUUGUC